This 497-nucleotide ribosomal RNA is filed under the name uncultured bacterium. Its description in RNAcentral is "partial 16S ribosomal RNA". It matches the Rfam family "Bacterial small subunit ribosomal RNA", at positions 28 to 507 of the family's 1533-position model. The record is from RNAcentral.
GAUGAACGCUGGCGGCGUGCCUAAUACAUGCAAGUCGAGCGAACAGACGAGGAGCUUGCUCCUCUGACGUUAGCGGCGGACGGGUGAGUAACACGUGGAUAACCUACCUAUAAGACUGGGAUAACUUCGGGAAACCGGAGCUAAUACCGGAUAAUAUAUUGAACCGCAUGGUUCAAUAGUGAAAGACGGUUUUGCUGUCACUUAUAGAUGGAUCCGCGCCGCAUUAGCUAGUUGGUAAGGUAACGGCUUACCAAGGCAACGAUGCGUAGCCGACCUGAGAGGGGGAUCGGCCACACUGGAACUGAGACACGGUCCAGACGCCUACGGGAGGCAGCAGUAGGGAAUCGUCCGCAAUGGGCGAAAGCCUGACGGAGCAACGCCGCGUGAGUGAUGAAGGUCUUCGGAUCGUAAAACUCUGUUAUUAGGGAAGAACAAAUGUGUAAGUAACUAUGCACGUCUUGACGGUACCUAAUCAGAAAGCCACGGCUAACUACGUG